Molecule: long non-coding RNA, 1943 nt
Filed under: Brassica napus (rape)
Lineage: Eukaryota; Viridiplantae; Streptophyta; Magnoliopsida; Brassicales; Brassicaceae
Description: long non-coding RNA (BNAP_LNC016042)
Source: RNAcentral
GGGGUUUUUGGUCGGAAGAUGAGAAGAGAUCUCAGAUGCAGACAUGGGAGAACAGUUCCUGGCCAUGAUCUCUAGAAGAUCGAGCUCUAUAGCUGAUUUUAAAGCCAUAGGGAGAACAGAGGCACUGGCUAACUGUAUGGCAAAGAGAGCAGUUUCGUCGUCGGUGACUUGCACUGGAGUUGACUGUGUCUGUGCCGUUGAGCCCAUUUUCGUGAAAUUUCUGAGAUUUUAGAAUGCUUUGUUUUUGGGUUUCGAUGUGUGAUAUGUUAGAAGUGGUCUAUUAUAUAGGAAAUAUGCAUGGGUUUAGGUUUCGCAACAUGUCGUGCUGUAACGUAUGUCCAGUAAUUACUUAAUAUGAGAUUUGUUAUGUGUGUGCGUGUGCUCUUGUUGGAAAUGCAUUUGCUUAGCUAAAUUAUUGUUUGCUGAGGGGUUCCAGUACGUACCUCGAUAAAACGGGGCAUAUUUACAGUGUCAUGAGUCGAUUUCAACGUUCAGAAAGCAUAAAACACAUUAUUGAUCCCAAGCCGGGACGGCCUGCAAGUCAUGUUGUUUGAAUAAUUAACUUGGGGAAAGAAUGAUAUCUAUAUAUUAACCACAUGAGUUUUAUAGACUGAAACGAAUGUAAUGUUUAAUCAUGUCAUGCCCAAAUCUGGACCUAGUCCCAAGUCCCAACUUGCAAGCUUCAAUAUACCUUAGGCUUUUUGCCACAUCAGUCUCAAAUCACAUAUAUAGAGGAUUGUUUUAUAUUAUUCUUAUAAAUAAAAACACAAGUACAAUUUAUUGAUAAACAGCUCGCACGGCAACCAUGAUUAAGCAUCAUAGUUUAAGACUUUAAAUCGAAAAAGAUCACAUGAGUACAACAAUUAAGCUGGUGGUAAAUUAGUAUUAAACUAAAUAAUCGGUUAUUAGUUUUCCCCCGGUAAAAAAAGCAGCAUUAGUUUUCUCAAUAUAAUUCUUAAACUUAAAUAGUAUUAAUUUCGGAUUUGUAACUCUUUGAACAGAGUUAGAUAAAUCAUUUACAACGGAGGGAAUAACCAUUGUGUUUUCUUUAUACAACGUAAACUGAUCUUGAUUGUGGCCACACGUAAUAUUAGAUCGAUAAAUGGACGCUCUAAAAGCAAGUGAUGGUAUGGCCAUCUUAUUGAUGACCAAUCCAACAUAGUACCCCGUACUUUGAAUUUAUGCCUUUUUAUCUAUUUUUAUUUAUAUAUUAUUUUUCCUAUAAUUUAUUGUAAAAUUAUUUUGUUCUCCAGUCUGUUUAAUCGUUGUAACAAAUGAUAUGACCGGUAUAAUUUUGGUGCAGUGACAAAUUAAGGUCUUUGCACUGUGUGGAUCUCACUUAUGUAUAUUAUUAUUAAGUACAUCAACCAAGAAGCAUAACUUAUAAAAAUUAUAUAUAUUAUGUCGUAUUAUAUGUUUAGCAUAAUAAGAUAUAUCAACAGAACUGAUAUGAUAAUUUUCGGUGUGGCUUCGUAAAUACUUACCAGCUUCCCAUGAAGACCUUGUCAUGAUUCAGGAGACAAAGAGCAGCUAUCGAGACACCAUCUUCGUUCUUGGUGAAAUAUUUGCAAACUGGACCAAGCCCGCAAAGCCGGUCGGCGCCGUCGGGAAGUGUACGGACGGAGCAAGUGAGGACGGAGUAAGCCGUAAGAAGACGGAGGAUACGGUCAAGCAUGACCGGAGCUUCGGGGUUUUUGGUCGGAAGAUGAGAAGAGAUCUCAGAUGCAGACAUGGGAGAACAGUUCCUGGCCAUGAUCUCUAGAAGAUCGAGCUCUAUAACUGAUUUUAAAGCCAUAGGGAGAACAGAGGCACUGGCUAACUGUAUGGCAAAGAGAGCAGUUUCGUCGUCGGUGACUUGCACUGGAGUUGACUGUGUCUGUGCCGUUGAGCCCAUUUUCGUGAAAUUUCUGAGAUUUUAGAAUGCUUUGUUUUUGGGUUUCGAU